Molecule: ribosomal RNA, 799 nt
Filed under: uncultured bacterium
Lineage: Bacteria
Description: bacterial SSU rRNA
Rfam family: Bacterial small subunit ribosomal RNA
Source: RNAcentral
GAGUUUGAUCCUGGCUCAGGACGAACGCUGGCGGCAUGCCUAAUACAUGCAAGUCGAACGCACGAAGUUGAAAAGCUUGCUUUUCGACCAAGUGAGUGGCGGACGGGUGAGUAACACGUGGGUAACCUGCCCAUAAGAGGGGGAUAACAUUCGGAAACGGAUGCUAAUACCGCAUAUUUCAAGUGACCGCAUGGUCGCUUGAUGAAAGGUGGCUUCGGCUACCACUUAUGGAUGGACCCGCGGUGCAUUAGUUAGUUGGUGAGGUAAUGGCUCACCAAGACCAUGAUGCAUAGCCGACCUGAGAGGGUGAUCGGCCACACUGGGACUGAGACACGGCCCAGACUCCUACGGGAGGCAGCAGUAGGGAAUCUUCCGCAAUGGACGAAAGUCUGACGGAGCAAUGCCGCGUGAGUGAAGAAGGUUUUCGGAUCGUAAAACUCUGUUGUUAGAGAAGAACAAGGAUGAGAGUAACUGCUCAUCCCCUGACGGUAUCUAACCAGAAAGCCACGGCUAACUACGUGCCAGCAGCCGCGGUAAUACGUAGGUGGCAAGCGUUGUCCGGAUUUAUUGGGCGUAAAGCGAGCGCAGGCGGUUCUUUAAGUCUGAUGUGAAAGCCCCCGGCUCAACCGGGGAGGGUCAUUGGAAACUGGAGAACUUGAGUGCAGAAGAGGAGAGUGGAAUUCCAUGUGUAGCGGUGAAAUGCGUAGAUAUAUGGAGGAACACCAGUGGCGAAGGCGACUCUCUGGUCUGUAACUGACGCUGAGGCUCGAAAGCGUGGGGAGCAAACAGGAUUAGAUAC